This 1115-nucleotide long non-coding RNA is filed under the name Marmota monax (woodchuck). The record is from RNAcentral. Lineage: Eukaryota; Metazoa; Chordata; Mammalia; Rodentia; Sciuridae.
UGGCCAGAAGCCUACACAUCAUCCUUCUCUCCUGUCUUUUGCUUUCUGUGUCCAAACAAUGACAAAAAUCCCAAAUCACCUAUGUCCCCACAUAUUCUUGGGAAGCUGUUCCUUCCUUUCAGAAAGUAGAACACUAGAUAGACCUGGGUUGGACAGGUACAGGCCUUAGAGAAGGACAGAGCUGUGUUGAAAUCCUGCCUCUACUUCUUGUUGACUAGGUGACUUUGGACAGCUCUCUUAAUUCACCUUAUCUACAAAAUGUAGAUUAUACUCUACUUUGAAGAAUAAUUGUGAAAAUCAGAAAUGAUGAGAACACUUAGUACUUAAUGAUAGUAUUCAUUAUAAUGAUAAUAACAAUGAUUAUUUCUGGAUCUACUGUUAUUGCUGUAGUCUAGGACAGUGUCUUCUCUCAGCUGGAUCAUGGCAUCAGCUUCUGCACUGGACUCCCUAACUUCACUUCCCAUCCAUACUGUCAAAUCUGCUUUUCAGAAAGUAGUCAGAUGUUUUUUGAAAAUGCAGAUCUGAUCAUGACACUUACCUGCCUGGAACUCUACCCAAAACACUGGUCACUUGCUCCCAUGCUUUAUUCAAGCAGUUCCCUCUGCCUCUGCCCGGAUGUCCACUCUCCCUCCGCCCCCUCAUAUCCUAUCUGACAAAUCUAUGUCCUUCCCACCCAGUGACAGUGUCAGCCACCCUGCCAUGGGGAUGUCUGUUUAUCUGGAGUCAAGUCAGCUCCUUAAGUCAGGAGCAGGUCUGAUUGUGUGUGGCCCCUGCCUCGCUGUUCAGAGGUUGGCCUGGAACAGUUUCAGGCACUUGCCCAAGGUCACACAGUGGGUUUGCUGCAGGGUCCAGGCUCAAACCCAGGCUUGUUGUCUUCCAGCUCAAGACCCUUCCUCCACACAUGCCACUCUGCCCCAGAGCCAACGGCUGGUGGUCUGGGAGUGGAGGAGCUUCCCCAGGGCAGGGCGGUCGGCAACCUGAGGACAUCACACCUCCCAUCUGGUGCUGCACCGGAUAAGUGGAGGAGGAUAAAAUUAUCCACUGCCCAUGUCCUGUAUCUCCUCAUCCGACAUGGACUAGAGAUAAAAAAUGAACGACACAAAAUCCAAUCUUCU